AUUGAACGCUGGCGGCAGGCUUAACACAUGCAAGUCGAGCGGAGCGAGGGUGCUUGCACCUUAGCUUAGCGGCGGACGGGUGAGUAAUGCUUAGGAAUCUGCCUAUUAGUGGGGGUCAACAUUCCGAAAGGAAUGCUAAUACCGCAUACGCCCUACGGGGGAAAGCAGGGGCUCUUCGGACCUUGCGCUAAUAGAUGAGCCUAAGUCGGAGUAGCUAGUUGGUGGGGUAAAGGCCUACCAAGGCGACGAUCUGUAGCGGGUCUGAGAGGAUGAUCCGCCACACUGGGACUGAGACACGGCCCAGACUCCUACGGGAGGCAGCAGUGGGGAAUAUUGGACAAUGGGCGGAAGCCUGAUCCAGCCAUGCCGCGUGUGUGAAGAAGGCCUUUUGGUUGUAAAGCACUUUAAGCGAGGAGGAGGCUACUUAGAUUAAUACUCUGGGAUAGUGGACGUUACUCGCAGAAUAAGCACCGGCUAACUCUGUGCCAGCCGCCGCGGUAA
Molecule: ribosomal RNA, 501 nt
Filed under: uncultured bacterium
Lineage: Bacteria
Description: partial 16S ribosomal RNA
Rfam family: Bacterial small subunit ribosomal RNA
Source: RNAcentral